UCCAGCCAUGCCGCGUGCAGUGAUGAAGGCCUUCGGGUUGUAAACUGCUUUUGUACGGAACGAAAAGACUCUGGUUAAUACCUGGGGUCCAUGACGGUACCGUAAGAAUAAGCACCGGCUAACUACGUGCCAGCAGCCGCGGUAAUACGUAGGGUGCGAGCGUUAAUCGGAAUUACUGGGCGUAAAGCGUGCGCAGGCGGUUAUAUAAGACAGAUGUGAAAUCCCCGGGCUCAACCUGGGAACUGCAUUUGAGACUGUAUAACUAGAGUACGGCAGAGGGGGAUGGAAUUCCGCGUGUAGCAGUGAAAUGCGUAGAUAUGCGGAGGAACACCGAUGGCGAAGGCAAUCCCCUGGGCCUGUACUGACACUCAUGCACGAAAGCGUGGGGAGCAAACAGGAUUAGAUACCCUGGUAGUCCACGCCCUAAACGAUGUCAACUGGUUGUUGGGUCUUCACUGACUCCCUAACGAA
This 471-nucleotide ribosomal RNA is filed under the name uncultured bacterium. RNAcentral describes it as "bacterial SSU rRNA". It matches the Rfam family "Bacterial small subunit ribosomal RNA", at positions 387 to 850 of the family's 1533-position model. The record is from RNAcentral.